CCCUCUUUUUCCCCCUUUUUUCUUCCUCCCUUUUCUUCCCUCUCCUUUCUUCUUUUUUUCCCUUCUUCUUUUCCCUCCCCCUUCUCCCCCCUUUCCUUUCCUUCGAAACUGCCAGACUAGAGUCCUGGAGAGGAAGGCGGAAUACUGGGUGUAGAAGUGAAAUUCGUAGAUAUCCAGUGGAACACCGGUGGCGAAGGCGGCCUUCUGGACAGUGACUGACGCUGGAAUGCGAAAGCGUGGGGAGCAAACAG
RNAcentral lists this ribosomal RNA (251 nucleotides) under uncultured prokaryote. RNAcentral's name for it is "partial 16S ribosomal RNA". It matches the Rfam family "Bacterial small subunit ribosomal RNA", at positions 608 to 775 of the family's 1533-position model. The record is from RNAcentral.